CAGCCGCCGCGGUAAUACGGAGGGAGCUAGCGUUGUUCGGAAUUACUGGGCGUAAAGCGCACGUAGGCGGCCAUUCAAGUCAGAGGUGAAAGCCCGGAGCUCAACUUCGGAACUGCCUUUGAAACUAGAUGGCUGGAAUCUUGGAGAGGUCAGUGGAAUUCCGAGUGUAGAGGUGAAAUUCGUAGAUAUUCGGAAGAACACCAGUGGCGAAGGCGACUGACUGGACAAGUAUUGACGCUGAGGUGCGAAAGCGUGGGGAGCAAACAGGAUUAGAUACCCCGGUAGUCCCUGUCUCUUAUAC
RNAcentral lists this ribosomal RNA (301 nucleotides) under uncultured bacterium. RNAcentral's name for it is "partial 16S ribosomal RNA". It matches the Rfam family "Bacterial small subunit ribosomal RNA", at positions 509 to 807 of the family's 1533-position model. The record is from RNAcentral.